RNAcentral lists this ribosomal RNA (465 nucleotides) under uncultured bacterium. RNAcentral's name for it is "partial 16S ribosomal RNA". It matches the Rfam family "Bacterial small subunit ribosomal RNA", at positions 338 to 795 of the family's 1533-position model. The record is from RNAcentral.
CCUACGGGAGGCAGCAGUAGGGAAUCUUCCACAAUGGGCGAAAGCCUGAUGGAGCAACGCCGCGUGGGUGAAGAAGGUCUUCGGAUCGUAAAACUCUGUUGUUAGAGAAGAAAGUGCGUGAGAGUAACUGUUCACGUUUCGACGGUAUCUAACCAGAAAGCCACGGCUAACUACGUGCCAGCAGCCGCGGUAAUACGUAGGUGGCAAGCGUUAUCCGGAUUUAUUGGGCGUAAAGGGAACGCAGGCGGUCUUUUAAGUCUGAUGUGAAAGCCUUCGGCUUAACCGGAGUAGUGCAUUGGAAACUGGGAGACUUGAGUGCAGAAGAGGAGAGUGGAACUCCAUGUGUAGCGGUGAAAUGCGUAGAUAUAUGGAAGAACCCCAGUGGCGAAAGCGGCUCUCUGGUCUGUAACUGACGCUGAGGUUCGAAAGCGUGGGUAGCAAACAGGAUUAGAUACCCCUGUAGUC